Gopherus agassizii (Agassiz's desert tortoise) is the source of this 136-nucleotide small nuclear RNA. Its record names the gene U4. It matches the Rfam family "U4 spliceosomal RNA". From Rfam's summary of the family: U4 small nuclear RNA (U4 snRNA) is a component of the major U2-dependent spliceosome. The structure of U4 snRNA from yeast and human has been reported. The record is from Ensembl. NCBI's taxonomy places the organism in Eukaryota, Metazoa, Chordata, Testudines, Testudinidae.
ACCUUUGCGCAGUGGCAGUAUCAUAACCAAUGAAGUUAAUCUGAGGUAUGAUUAUUGCUAGUUGAAAACUAUUCACUUUCCUGUAAGUAUUUCCAUUCUCUAUCUACAGUACUUACAGAAAGUGAACACAACUGUG